GUACUAAUAAUAAUAAUAAAGGCACAAAGAAUUACUAAAAACACAAAAAACAAAAACAGAUUAUACCCCAACUCAACUGACUUUAAUAUCAAAAAGAAAAUAUCACUAAAUACGGAAACAAAGGCAAGAAACUAAACUGAAUGGGAAGGUUUUGGUAUUUUGAUAAGUAACAGUAGUAAUGGUGUACAGCUGGGAAAAACGAAAAUAAAUAAUAAAAGUUUUACCAAAAACUCAGUGACCCAAAAAGCAAUUAAUGGGUGGGAGUGAUAAAGAGCAAUUCACAUUUUAUGAAGAAAACAAAAACAGAACAGAAUAGAAAGAGCGGAAACAAAGUACAAAACUGAUAAAAUCUUUUGGCUGGGCUUUGCAAGUUACUAUAAAAUAAAUUAUUCCGGCUGAAAAGAAACCCAAUGAGAGCAAAAGGCAACUUUUUUAGAAGAUAAAGAGAGAAAAAGAAACGUAGCAUUGAGAAGAAAUGAAUGAAGUGCAAUGUGUGUAACAUGGGAGCAGGUUAAAAAGGAGGAAUAAUAAUUGAAGCCAGGCUUACUCUUCAAUGCAUGAUUGACGUGAACAUGCCAUAUGUAUAUUGUAUCCAUCAUCUCCUCUACAUAUAUGUAUAUAGAUAUCCUUAAUAUUUGUUUAUAUUUAUUUAUACGUAAUAUGGUUUGAUUAUUUAUGAUUCUUCACAUUUGAAAUGUGUCAGAUUCUGACACAAACACAUAUAUCCAAACACAUGGACUAAGAUGUAUCAAUGCGUGUGACUUGUCAAAGAAACCGAAGGCUGACAGACGCUUUGGCCUUGGUUGAGUUUGUGACUUGUUUUUUUUGUUGAGCCAAUUUUAUGGAAUUCUUAACAGUAACUGCAACCGAAUCUUGGCAGAGAAUAUAAAUAUAUAUAUGUACAAAUUUUUUUUUUUUUAAUUUCUUCUUUAUUUUGACCAUCAUAAUCACAAUAAAAAGGAUAUAUUUAAAACCCUAUAUAAACGAUUUAAUGAUAAAGGUGAGCAUAUAGCCAACUAUAAACUGUUUUUUAUUAUAUUCUAAAUGUAACUCAAUUUUCUUCUUAUCUAGAGUUCAAAUAUCAGACCUACUAUUUUCAUUCAAACGAAAGCUUUUCGGUACUAAUAAUAAUAAUAAAGGCACAAAGAAUUACUAAAAACACAAAAAACAAAAACAGAUUAUACCCCAACUCAACUGACUUUAAUAUCAAAAAGAAAAUAUCACUAAAUACGGAAACAAAGGCAAGAAACUAAACUGAAUGGGAAGGUUUUGGUAUUUUGAUAAGUAACAGUAGUAAUGGUGUACAGCUGGGAAAAACGAAAAUAAAUAAUAAAAGUUUUACCAAAAACUCAGUGACCCAAAAAGCAAUUAAUGGGUGGGAGUGAUAAAGAGCAAUUCACAUUUUAUGAAGAAAACAAAAACAGAACAGAAUAGAAAGAGCGGAAACAAAGUACAAAACUGAUAAAAUCUUUUGGCUGGGCUUUGCAAGUUACUAUAAAAUAAAUUAUUCCGGCUGAAAAGAAACCCAAUGAGAGCAAAAGGCAACUUUUUUAGAAGAUAAAGAGAGAAAAAGAAACGUAGCAUUGAGAAGAAAUGAAUGAAGUGCAAUGUGUGUAACAUGGGAGCAGGUUAAAAAGGAGGAAUAAUAAUUGAAGCCAGGCUUACUCUUCAAUGCAUGAUUGACGUGAACAUGCCAUAUGUAUAUUGUAUCCAUCAUCUCCUCUACAUAUAUGUAUAUAGAUAUCCUUAAUAUUUGUUUAUAUUUAUUUAUACGUAAUAUGGUUUGAUUAUUUAUG
RNAcentral lists this long non-coding RNA (1796 nucleotides) under Citrus sinensis (sweet orange). Its description in RNAcentral is "long non-coding RNA (CSIN_LNC002260)". Lineage: Eukaryota; Viridiplantae; Streptophyta; Magnoliopsida; Sapindales; Rutaceae. The record is from RNAcentral.